AUGAGGUAGAGGUCAUGCAAGGUCUGAGUUCACCUUUCUCUCUCAUGUUUGUUCUCUGCCCAUCAGCCUUGAGUGUCAGUGGAGAGAGUGCAGGAGAGUCAGAUAGGGUGGCUUCUCAUCUGACUGAAACCAGCAGCACAACAUACAGCUUGACAUGUGUGGUAUCACACCUGGGUGAACACAUGGAUAGUGGUCACUACAUCUGUGAUGUCGUGGAGGGGGACGGUAGCAAUUGGCUGUGCUUCAACGACAGUCAAGUUUCAAGGAGGUCAAAAGAUGAAAUAGUGCAGAAAAGGGCAAGCACAGCCUACUUACUCUUCUAUGUGGAGAGGUAUGUCACUACUCUACAUCCUGGGUAUUUGGGUGAGAAACAAAAAUGUGCUUUCCUGAUUACAAGACGUCCUUCUUUUGUACACAGUGAUGCAGGAGAGGGAGAUAAAGGAGUCGGUUGAAUGGUGUGGCGUGGCGUGGAGACUGCCACCUCAUGGUCUCCUGAACAUUGCCCCAUGACGUCAUGGAAGAAGUCAACUGCUGGGCAAGCCACCCUUUCGUUGGUGACUACACCCUGUUCUACUGAGGAGCCUGAACAUCAACCAGAAACAUCAGUUCAGAGGCACACAGCUGCAGCCAGGAGGAUGCCGUGAACAGAUGGAUUGCAAGCAUCUGUCCAUCAGUUAUCCAUGACGGUGAUCCAUGCGGGAAGAUGGCCUGGCUCACAUCCUCAAUUCUCACAGACACUUGUAUUAAAAAAAGAUAUGAGCACCAUCAACCAUUAAAGUAAUGAAG
Clupea harengus (Atlantic herring) is the source of this 786-nucleotide long non-coding RNA. Lineage: Eukaryota; Metazoa; Chordata; Actinopteri; Clupeiformes; Clupeidae. The record is from Ensembl.